Carcharodon carcharias (great white shark) is the source of this 629-nucleotide long non-coding RNA. RefSeq lists it as uncharacterized. NCBI's taxonomy places the organism in Eukaryota, Metazoa, Chordata, Chondrichthyes, Lamniformes, Lamnidae. The transcript is spliced from 3 exons. The record is from RefSeq and is a predicted model, not a curated record.
GCCUUGACACCCAGCGAUAUGACAAGAGCGAUAAUCUUAGAGAAUUGAAGGAGCCUGUCUUGCUGAGUUGCUCUGUAGAAAUCAUAGCUGAAGCUUGUGGAAAACCUCGCCAAAAACGUGACCCUAAAAGGCAAGGUGUCGUGAAGAUUGUUGCGAACUAUAUUCAAACUACAAAUUGGCUCAUAAUCUGAGAUCAUCCUGGGUUACAUUCAACAGGGUACAGGUCUUGAUUUCUUGCUGGGGAACAGUUCCUCACACUCACCAGGCUCUCCAGUACCUCCCAUAGGUGGUCAUUAUUCUUACAUGUGUCAUGACAGUGUCAAAGGCCAUUUGGUCAUAAGAAACAUCACAGUCAACCCAAAUCCUGGCCUCACCCGAUGACCACUCACAGCUAUUUCAUGCAGGGGAUGCUGGGUAAUACAAACUCUGGCCAAUUUUUUCCAUUCUUUAAGCCAGGAACGCUGAGUCCGAUUACAACUGCCACCCUGACUGAGAUCACUAAAUUGGCACUGGUCAAACAUAGGACCUUUCUAGUCUGUAUGGUUCAGCUACUAACUGGUUGGAUUGAAAGCCAUUGGGAAAAGGCUGCUUGAUAUUUGCAAAAGUAUAUAUGGAAAUUGCAACAUUGC